RNAcentral lists this long non-coding RNA (530 nucleotides) under Malus domestica (apple). Its description in RNAcentral is "long non-coding RNA (MDOM_LNC010767)". Lineage: Eukaryota; Viridiplantae; Streptophyta; Magnoliopsida; Rosales; Rosaceae. The record is from RNAcentral.
GCUGCUAGAAAGAUCACUGAAUAAAUAUAACUCUCGGCCUAAUGCCUGCACCUCAGUCUCUGUGCCCGUAGCCAGAGAUAACUCCCUCCCGGCCCAAUGCCUGUCUCCGUGUCCCUCAGCCUUUCGCUAGGGAUUAUUUCUCCCGGCCUACAUGCCAACACCAGAUCCUCGCCCCAGGCGGCAUAGUGUCCACUAGGUACGCACAAAUAGUUACGUCUCUCUUAAAUAACCACUUCAUAGCAUAGGUUACCGAUCAUCGUCUACACUAUAAAGAGGGGUUCAAAAACAUGUUCUAGCAUCCUAUCGUCAUUUAUCAGAUAGUCUACCAGUUUAUGAUUUUUAUAGAAAAUACGAUAUAUUAAAAUAUAGCUCAAUAUAGGCCAACAAUUAAUUCAUCACCAAAAACACGAGACGAUAAUCAAUAUAUUAAAUCAACAGGCUCCACAUAAAUCAGAUCAUAAAUUCAUAGGCAUGCUAAUCAUUUAUGCAAUUACUAUAAAAUCAUGUAAUUUUAGAAGGGGUCCACUCAC